CACCAUCGACCGAUCCUGAUGUCUUCGGAUGGAUUUGAGUAWGAGCAUAGCUGUUGGGACCCGAAAGAUGGUGAACUAUGCYYGAAUAGGGUGAAGCCAGAGGAAACUCUGGUGGAGGCUCGCAGCGGUUCUGACGUGCAAAUCGAUCGUCAAAUUURGGCAUAGGGGCGAAAG
RNAcentral lists this ribosomal RNA (174 nucleotides) under Lobaria dissecta. RNAcentral's name for it is "partial large subunit ribosomal RNA". It matches the Rfam family "Eukaryotic large subunit ribosomal RNA", at positions 756 to 929 of the family's 3401-position model. The record is from RNAcentral. Lineage: Eukaryota; Fungi; Ascomycota; Lecanoromycetes; Peltigerales; Lobariaceae.